AGCUUGUCUACACAUUUGAAUAAUUUUUAUUGUUCACUCUUUAGCACCGUAUUUCCGAAGCCCGCAGAAACACCCAAUAAAAAUGAGCGCUUUAAUCGCAUUGGCCUCACUGUUGUGGGCUAAUUAAUUGUGUAUUUAAUUAGAAAAAAAUUGCCGUUAAUAAAAUCCAAAUUGAAGACUCUUCAGAGAAUGUUAUGAUGUAUACAACGAAUGGAGCGUUCUGGAAAUUUUUAGACUAGAACUACAUUAAACAGAACAAUGUCGGGUGCCGAAAUAUGGAGAAAUAUAUGUAUUUAUAAAAGCUUUCAAAAAAUCUAGAACACUGGCUGUAUCACUAAUCUGAGUACCGCAAAGCGAACACAAGCUUUCAGAAAUCCUUAAAACCAACCUGCAUAUUAUAUCUGUACUAAAAAUAAUUCAGUAAAUAAAAGCGAAAAUAUAUAGCACAUGGCAGAUCAACUGAGAAUCUUAAUAACUUUUCGGUUUCUAUCGCCAUUCGUACGUCCACAAUCCCUCCUUGCAUUUAUAUCAUUCAUUUUUUAUUAUUUUUAUUUCCUUUAUUAACUUGUCAGGCUCUUUCUUUUAUUAUUUGAUCAAAGCUAUCGCUGACUUUUGCUAUUAAUAUCCAUAACAUUUUUGUUGUUGCACUCACAGUGUUUGUGUGUGCGUGUUUAACGCGUGCGUGUCGAAAUAUGGUAUGCAAAUUUACAAAUUAACAAUUCGUCAUGCUCACGGCUCAGCGUGCUCCGGUCCGCACCUUAACCACAGUCAGUCAGCUGAAAUAUUCUUCAAUUGCUGUCGCUGCUGCUUCAGCUUCAUCAAUAUUUUCUCCGUGUUUUCAUUCUCUACUUUUUUCUGUUUUUAUAUCUUUUUUU
Non-coding RNA from Bactrocera oleae (olive fruit fly), 875 nucleotides. The record is from RefSeq and is a predicted model, not a curated record. NCBI's taxonomy places the organism in Eukaryota, Metazoa, Arthropoda, Insecta, Diptera, Tephritidae.